GAUCAGAUCGAGGUUGUCGCUGACAGCUUCGGGGCGCCGACAACCGCCCAUCUCGUUGCGGAUACCACCGCCGCAAUGCUUGAUCGGCUGAACGGCCUCUCCCGGCCCGAAGAACUAUCUGGCAUCUAUCAUCUGACGGCCUCCGGCGAGACAAGCUGGUAUGAUUUUGCACAAUUCCUUCUGGGGCUAGCUCACAAUCG
This 200-nucleotide unclassified non-coding RNA is filed under the name Hevea brasiliensis (rubber tree). Lineage: Eukaryota; Viridiplantae; Streptophyta; Magnoliopsida; Malpighiales; Euphorbiaceae. The record is from RNAcentral.